This 229-nucleotide long non-coding RNA is filed under the name Theobroma cacao (cacao). RNAcentral describes it as "long non-coding RNA (TCAC_LNC002932)". Lineage: Eukaryota; Viridiplantae; Streptophyta; Magnoliopsida; Malvales; Malvaceae. The record is from RNAcentral.
CUCGCGCAAUUAAAGUUGUAGAGUUGGGUUCUACUAAUGAGCUUGAUAUUGGAAAAGGAAAAAAUCAAGUUGGCUCAUUAAAAAAAGCAGGUGAUACAUGAUAGGGCUCGCAUUUGAGGUCUUUUCGUAACUUACUUGAUUUGUGGAAUCCGACUCUCAAAGCUCUAGGUGAGAUAAUUAAUAAAGGCGGCACCUCAUCCCAAAGGGUCUUAGCUAAUGGAGCUUAUGA